GAAAAAAUUAUCAGCAUGAAAUGGAUGGCUAUCAUGCAUGCCAUUUUCAUCCAAUUAGGAUUUGUAAAAUUAGAUGGUUUGCCUUAGAAACUAAGCAAUGGUUAUAAUUAUUAGCUAACAAAAAUUUAGAGGAUUUGACAAAAGGCCUAAUUAUGAAUGGCCUUUUACUUAGUCUGGUUUUUAAAGAUCAAUAUCUCACUAUUAAGUGUUGGAUUCUUGAUUAUGAC
This 227-nucleotide long non-coding RNA is filed under the name Nicotiana benthamiana. RNAcentral describes it as "long non-coding RNA (NBEN_LNC001933)". The record is from RNAcentral. Lineage: Eukaryota; Viridiplantae; Streptophyta; Magnoliopsida; Solanales; Solanaceae.